This is a long non-coding RNA of Panicum hallii, 3124 nucleotides long. RefSeq lists it as uncharacterized. The transcript is spliced from 4 exons. The record is from RefSeq and is a predicted model, not a curated record. NCBI's taxonomy places the organism in Eukaryota, Viridiplantae, Streptophyta, Magnoliopsida, Poales, Poaceae.
ACUAGAAGCGCCCGCGCGUGAGCCGAAGAGAAUUCCGGGAGACGUGGCUGCUGCAAAUAAGUGCCGUACAUGCGUCGUACGCGGGAAACGCUCUCGCGCGUCGAGGAGCUACCUGCUUUUAAGAAACCCGAUUCCUCUCACAUCCAGUGGCGAUGCUCGUAUCUUCCAUACCAUCGGCGCGCAUUUCUGGAUUCCCCCGCGCGCAUCCGCACGGUGGUGUGGGAAGGGAGGCGCAGAUUAGACCCAGGUGAGUGAUUUCUUCACGCGCCCGCGGUUUCGCCCAUCGAUUUUGACUGCGUUUUCAUGUUUGUUCGAUGGAGUUCAACGGCGAGCGCAUUUGGAAUCCGGCGAGGCAUUCGCGGUGGUUGGAUGAGGAGACUGGAAGCGCGGAUUCAGACAGGUCUUCGGCAUCCACAUCUGGAUUUCGGCGAGGUAUUCGCGGUGGGGAGAGAGGGACUGAAAGCGUAGAUGUCAGACCCAGAUUUUCCUCCAAAUGAGGACACCUGCGGUCACAUCAGGUUCAUUUUCGCAUCCAAUAGCAGGGAUUCAUCAGGGGCAUCAGACCAGCCUUUUGUUUGUUGUGAAUUCAAGGCCCCUGGAGAAUAGAGUUUUUGCUGCUAGCGCAAAGGCUGCCUCCUGGUGAGAAAGUGCAGAAAGUUUAGUCAAGCAGACUCAUUCCUCUUUUUUUUUUCAAUUCAGUAUAAGGAACAACAUAUCUAGUUGCUAGAUUUUUUUUACUUGUCUAGGCAUCUAUUAAUUGUGUUUAGUCCUAGGUUAGUUGAUCUAGUAUCUCUAGGAUUCGUUUAUCUUCGAACACUCGCUCACCAUGCUGGAAGCUUUUCAAAUCCUUUUUUGUUUAAUUCCAGGACAGAGGUGAGUUUAUAUGAAAUCACUAGCCAACUGUUACUGUCGAGAAGCACAAGUACAGUGCGACCAAGCUUGAGUAUAGAUUGCAGUUCUUAGGGUCAGGUUGUAAAUACAAUAGAGAAUAGAUAACUCAAAUCAAGAGCUUAAGAGGAAGCAUGUUGAUUUUCAGACACGCCUUUUUUCAUCAGAAGAAAUAAUAGCUUAACUGAAUGAUAGUCAGAGCCACAGCUAGAUAACUGAAUGCUUUUUUGUUCUUCUUAGCUUUUUUUACCACUGAAAUGUUUUAGCUUAACAGUUAUUUUUGUUGGGUUGGAGGUGGGGGUUCUAGCAUAGAUUUUUCUCCUAAACAGUAGCCAGCGAUUGCAACUGCAGUUGUUUUGUAUUUUCUCUCUGAAUUCCAGGGGCAAGUACAACCUACAGGUGCAGCUCAAUCUCUGUCUGCUUGUCUUCUCCUACUACAACAGCUUUUGGUCGAUUAGCAGCUCACACAGGUAAUCAGCAGUGACAAGUGCAGGUAUUGCUUAACUUGUUUUUGCAGCUCAUCAAGCAACAGUAGCUUCUGAAUCAACUCAGCUUGUCAGGUUUGUUCAGAGACACAUUGAGGUACAUAGCUGCAUGAGCUAUUGUUUUUUCCUUUUGCCACAAUGAUCUGUUACUCGAGUUGUCUUGCAUAGAAGUUGUCUGAUUUUUUUGUUUAACCCCAUGUGUGGCCUGUAGCUUUUUCCUUGCACUGUUAAUUUAAUCAUGUGUUGCUCUGUCAGGCCAUUAUGUUGUAGUUGCAUUGUUCCAGUAGCUAGCAGCUCUUUGUUUUUAUAUCAGCUAACAACUCUAGCUACAGCAGCAACACUUAUCUGCUUUUUGUUCAGAGUUUUCACUGAUCAGGUGAAUUAAUCUUGAUAUCUCUCUCAUGCUACAGGUCCAGUGAUUAGACGCUUGGUCCAUAUUUUUUGUGAUGCUUUAAACUGCUCGUAAGCUCUAAGUAAGAUUUCAGUCUUAUCUGCAUACCUCUUAGUUAGCACUUGAAUUGAUCAUUUUGAAAAUUAGUUAGUGCUAAUCUUGGCCAUCUGAUUGUUUGUAUCUUUGCUUCCGCGGUACUUUGAGAAAUUCCUAACCGUUCCUAGGGUGAGCUCGUUACUAGUUGGCUUGUGUCAUCUUGAUGGUUAGAAGAGAGGCGUGUCGGGUUGUAUCCGGGACAUGGGCCUUGUUCUCGUUGAGAAUUUUUGAAAGGCUCCCGUUCAACCCCCCUCUGGUCGCCAUAUAUCGGUCCUUCAAUUAUAGUUGAGAUACCACUAGUAUGACAUAUCUGCAGGUGCAUCUGAUUAGUUGCCGAACUUCAUUAGACAGUGAGAAAGUAAGAACAGGCAAUUAAAUGUACUAUGAUCAAGCAAUAUUAUCGUAAGGUCAAUGCAAAUUAGUGCAAAUUGAUGGGCAAUUUUUACAACAUUCUUUCUUCUCUAAUUUCUCUUUAUUUUUACUGUUCUUACAUUGCAGGUUCCCAAGUUAUCCUGCAGGAGAGAUCAAGUACAGUGCAUGAAGAAGAUAUGAUGUGCAUAUGAACUAGCUCAAGUAAAGUACAUAUGUAGUGAGAGCAAGUACAUUUCUUGCAAUUUUUUGUCUAAAUAUGUACUUCAUUAGGCAAUAAUGUUGUUCAGAUUAGGCAAAUUAUGCAAUUAUUUUAGGCAAUAAUAUGGUUUUUAAAUUAGGUAGUAAUAUGGCCAGAAAUUUAGGCAAUAAUGUGUUUCUGUAUUAGCAAAAAUAUGAUCAUGAAUUAGGUAAUAUAGAACUAGCAAUGUUUGUUACCAGAGGUAUUCAGCCUUGCUGAUAUUUUACUCCUAAUACUAACUGCACUUGCUAUUCGUUUCAGUCGUACAAAACAAUGUUUAGGACCUGAAAUCCGAUGUGCCUUUUUAUCUGCCUGCAAGUUUCCUCAUCGAAUUGGCACUGUAACAUGCUCUUCAGCUUGGUGCUUGGUGGUCGGAAAGAUCAUCAGACUGUCAUCGACAGCAGUUUAAUUGCAACUCAACCUCGAUUUUUGAUUCAUGAGCAGCAUGGUAGUAGUUCUAGUAGCUCUAAUCUUUUUGUUUGUUCAGUAUAACAGUAGAGGCUGUUUGUUCAGUAUAACAGUAGAGGCAAUCACAUGUAUGCUGGUAGUUUUGAAACUUUGUUAAUGCUUAGAAUUUAGAUGGGUGAAAUAUAUUUGUAUAUGUUCUAAUUUGCUUACUAUUUUUCAAAACUUUGCUUAUGGGAGAGUAAAAAU